CCAGACUCCUACGGGAGGCAGCAGUGGGGAAUCUUCCGCAAUGGGCGAAAGCCCGACGGAGCAACGCCGCGUGAUCGAAUGAAGGCCUUCGGGUUGUAAAGAUCUGUUGACAGGGACGAAUAAGCAAUGCGAAUAAUUUUGUGUAUGACGGUACCUGUUUAGAAAGCUCCGGCUAACUACGUGCCAGCAGCCGCGGUAAUACGUAGGGAGAGUGCGUUGUCCGGAAUUACUGGGUGUAAAGGGAGCGUAGGCGGGCGAGAAAAUUGAAUGUUAAAGCUCCCGGGUUAACUGGGAGCUGCGUACAAAACUUCUUGUCUUGAGAGAAGUAGAGGCAGGCGGAAUUCCUAGUGUAGCGGUGAAAAGCGUAGA
This 369-nucleotide ribosomal RNA is filed under the name uncultured bacterium. Its description in RNAcentral is "partial 16S ribosomal RNA". It matches the Rfam family "Bacterial small subunit ribosomal RNA", at positions 331 to 694 of the family's 1533-position model. The record is from RNAcentral.